This 253-nucleotide ribosomal RNA is filed under the name uncultured bacterium. Its description in RNAcentral is "partial 16S ribosomal RNA". It matches the Rfam family "Bacterial small subunit ribosomal RNA", at positions 524 to 776 of the family's 1533-position model. The record is from RNAcentral.
UACGUAGGCAGCAAGCGUUGUUCGGAGUUACUGGGCGUAAAGGGUGCGUAGGCGGUCCUAUAAGUAUGGUGUGAAAUCUCCCGGCUUAACUGGGAGGGUGCGCUAUAGACUGUGGGACUAGAGUGUGGGAGAGGAAAGUGGAAUUCCUGGUGUAGCGGUGAAAUGCGUAGAUAUCAGGAGGAACACCGGUGGUGUAAACGGCUUUCUGGACCAUAACUGACGCUGAGGCACGGAAGCGUGGGUAGCAAACAGG